AGCAGUCGCCGCGGUAAUACGAAGGGGGCUAGCGUUGCUCGGAAUCACUGGGCGUAAAGGGUGCGUAGGCGGGUCUUUAAGUCAGAGGUGAAAUCCUGGAGCUCAACUCCAGAACUGCCUUUGAUACUGGAGAUCUCGAGUUCGGGAGAGGUGAGUGGAACUGCGAGUGUAGAGGUGAAAUUCGUAGAUAUUCGCAAGAACACCAGUGGCGAAGGCGGCUCACUGGCCCGAUACUGACGCUGAGGCACGAAAGCGUGGGGAGCAAACAGGAUUAGAUACCCCAGUAGUCCCUGUCUCUUAUAA
RNAcentral lists this ribosomal RNA (303 nucleotides) under uncultured bacterium. Its description in RNAcentral is "partial 16S ribosomal RNA". It matches the Rfam family "Bacterial small subunit ribosomal RNA", at positions 507 to 809 of the family's 1533-position model. The record is from RNAcentral.